CGAUGACUUCUAAUGCGAAAAAUAAAUAAUUAACGUACACAUUAAUUUUAACUGCAAUAAUAAAAAGUAAAGAACACGAUAUCGAGCGGACCAUGUCUGAAGGUCCGUAAAUAUCGAGACAUGCGAAUUCACCACUUUAGAAUUAUCACUGUUCAUCCUAAAGUCUCUGAAAACUGUAGCAACCAAAAAAUCACUAUCGAGUCCCGAACGCCCGAACAACAACGCUGUCCAGAUUCUUCUGCGUAGCCUGAAACAGAAAAGUGCCCUCACGCGCGGCCUCUCUUCUCUGCGCGUGGGCCUCACGCGCCAUCACACGCGCCGUCGUCUUCCACCACGCGCCAGCCUGCAGGGUUCCCAUCCUCCUGCACGUUACGCCAGUUGUCUCUGUUUCCCCAAACUCCUCUGGAUUGAUCAAAAAACAUGAAAAACGGAGACUGAUUUAAACAGUUUUUGGACAGCUUCUUCGAUCUGAUUUCUGCUGCGUUUCUUCCUAUUUUCUAGACGAUUUCUGGUAGAUUUCACGAGCCAAAACCUUUACCUUGAAGCUCUGAUACCAAUUGUUGCGGAAGCUCUCUCAAAAGGAUCUUCAAACGGUGGUUUUUCAGGCUCAGUCCAACGUACCUUUCUCUACCAACAACCAAUCCAAACGGCUCCAAAACACAACCAAUUGAUUCACCUUGGUUGCUAUACAAUCUUACCCACGUAGGACAAGAAGGGAUGAUGAUUUAUGGCCACAAAGGUUAGGAGAAGACACCACAAAGGUAUACUAUGAAAGAACCACCAAUUGCACACGUUAUACCAGCGUUCUGGACACUUCUGGAUACCUUUUUUCUCACACAAAGGGGGGCAGCCGGGAUUCUCUAGUUUCUUCUCUCAAAAUCACACAAUCAUCAUUUCAAAGAGGCUAGGGUUAUAUUCAUAUAUAUACUCUAGGGUUAGACUUUAAGUUGGGCCAUUAAAG
Molecule: long non-coding RNA, 961 nt
Filed under: Olea europaea subsp. europaea
Lineage: Eukaryota; Viridiplantae; Streptophyta; Magnoliopsida; Lamiales; Oleaceae
Source: RNAcentral